AAAAUAAUAACAUUUGUACUGAAGACAGCAGGUGCGCUAGGCGCGCUUAAUUUCCUGCCGAGGUAAUGCGAUAGAAUUGGCUGAAUUAUUCAGCUGUUGUAUGCUGCCUCCAUGUCACCGAUUGAUAUGGAGGUUUUUAUUUGCCUAG
Bacillus sp. OV166 is the source of this 148-nucleotide non-coding RNA. Lineage: Bacteria; Bacillati; Bacillota; Bacilli; Caryophanales; Bacillaceae. The record is from Rfam.